Long non-coding RNA from Maniola jurtina (meadow brown), 310 nucleotides. RefSeq lists it as uncharacterized. The record is from RefSeq and is a predicted model, not a curated record. Lineage: Eukaryota; Metazoa; Arthropoda; Insecta; Lepidoptera; Nymphalidae. The transcript has 2 exons.
AAUGAAUGACCAAUUUCAAGAGAAAAUCAGGUUUAACACGAAUUUAACUAUUUAUUAACAACAACAAAUUAAUAACAUUAAUGGAAAUAAUAUGAUAUUGCUAUAGUGGACGAUCUUGCUGCAACUGUGUAUAGCAAGAGUCGGAAGAGUUUUUGCUGUCAAACGUGAUUAGAGAUGCGUAACAUAUCGGCACUUCUGUAGAUAAACCAGCAAGUCCAGUAGAUAUUAUAAUCCAAUAGGAGAGUUUAGAUUCAAAACCCAACCGUGUUGUUAGCAUUAAAAAAACUGUAAUAAACGCUAAAUAAACUUU